Molecule: transfer RNA, 74 nt
Filed under: Treponema sp.
Lineage: Bacteria; Pseudomonadati; Spirochaetota; Spirochaetia; Treponematales; Treponemataceae
Description: tRNA-Arg
Rfam family: tRNA
About the family: Transfer RNA (tRNA) molecules are approximately 80 nucleotides in length. Their secondary structure includes four short double-helical elements and three loops (D, anti-codon, and T loops). Further hydrogen bonds mediate the characteristic L-shaped molecular structure. tRNAs have two regions of fundamental functional importance: the anti-codon, which is responsible for specific mRNA codon recognition, and the 3' end, to which the tRNAs corresponding amino acid is attached (by aminoacyl-tRNA synthetases). tRNAs cope with the degeneracy of the genetic code in two manners: having more than one tRNA (with a specific anti-codon) for a particular amino acid; and 'wobble' base-pairing, i.e. permitting non-standard base-pairing at the 3rd anti-codon position.
Source: RNAcentral
GCGUUCGUAGCUCACUUGGAUAGAGCGACGGACUUCGAAUCCGUAGGUAGCAGGUUCGAUUCCUGUCGAGCGCA